GAAAACGAAAACUUUUCCUGAUGAAUUGACGCGGGCAAAAGUAGAAAAAUAUGUUUAAAGUAGCAGUGCCUUUUGAAGGAUAUUUGCCUGACGAAUUGUCAUAAAAGGUAUGAUUUUUCUGACAAAUAAGUUGGUUGUCAUGAAAAAUUUGUCACGAAAGAAAUAAUUUUUUGUAGUGAAUAAGGAGGAAUGCUCGAGCAGUAGUGAGAAAGAAAUUGAGAGGGGUCCAAGUGAGAGAGAGACCGAGAGAGACAGUGAGA
Molecule: long non-coding RNA, 260 nt
Filed under: Coffea arabica (coffee)
Lineage: Eukaryota; Viridiplantae; Streptophyta; Magnoliopsida; Gentianales; Rubiaceae
Description: long non-coding RNA (CARA_LNC003716)
Source: RNAcentral